RNAcentral lists this long non-coding RNA (393 nucleotides) under Setaria italica (foxtail millet). RNAcentral's name for it is "long non-coding RNA (SITA_LNC005093)". Lineage: Eukaryota; Viridiplantae; Streptophyta; Magnoliopsida; Poales; Poaceae. The record is from RNAcentral.
UUCUAAGGAAACAAAUGCUGCAUAAUUUACAGUAUUACUAUUAUCCAGCAAAGAGCAAACUUUACAACCCUCUUACAUACUGAACCCAGAUAGCAAUACAGCAAUACUUCUUGAUAAGUAUGAUACAGACCCAGACCAGUUUCGUACGUAGUACAUGUACAUGCACUCUGUACAUACUGAACCCAGAUAGCGAUACAGCUAUACUUCUUGAUAAGUAUGAUACAGACCCAGACCAGUUUCGUAGGUAGUACAUGUACCUGCAUUGACCACUUUGCUGAAGGACCCCUGCAAGGAGAAUUGCCAUAGACUAAGCCAAAGCAUCCGAAGAACUCAGCCUCCAACUGAACCCAGUGACAUGCCUGAACAUUAAGAACCUAUGGAGGUGUGCGGUUG